RNAcentral lists this ribosomal RNA (228 nucleotides) under Triticum aestivum (bread wheat). Its description in RNAcentral is "partial small subunit ribosomal RNA". The record is from RNAcentral. Lineage: Eukaryota; Viridiplantae; Streptophyta; Magnoliopsida; Poales; Poaceae.
CUUAUUGAUAUAGGGAAAUACUAUUUAGUGGAUGUUGGUUAUACCAAUGGAGAAGGAUGUCUAGCUCCAUUCAGGUCCACUCGGUAUCAUCUAAAAGAACGGGCUGCAAGUGCACAAGAGCCUCAAACCGAGGAGGAGUUAUAUAACUUGCGCCAUUCUCGUGCUAGGAAUGUAGUGGAGCGAACAUUUGGCUUGUUCAAGAAAAAAUGGGUUAUCUUGCGUUCCUAA